GGGGGCGACUGGUUUCGACAUAUUGGUUUUAAGAAGGGAAGCAGGCCGUGGUCUCCUCGCCACGUUAAACAGGGGUACCGUCAAAUUUAAUUGACAACAAGCAGUAUGCUCUCGCUGCCUGAUAGUGCAGCGACGUCGACUUGAUGUGGUUCCCCGCCAUCAACGAGACGCGACUCAGGGGAAUGCUCCGCGUCCCACUGUUGACUAAGAUGCGGAUAAGAUAAGCCAACUGGAACCGGGGCCGCCUGUCUGCGAGCCACCCCAUGUUCGAGAUUCGAUUGCAGACUGAGCCUGGAGAUGCCUUUUAAGAAGCCCGUAUGGACCGGAGUUCGAUUCUCCGCGCCUCCACCA
This 351-nucleotide transfer-messenger RNA is filed under the name Coriobacteriales bacterium. It matches the Rfam family "transfer-messenger RNA". Rfam says of the family: Bacterial tmRNA, also known as 10Sa RNA or SsrA, is named for its dual tRNA and mRNA-like properties. Its role is to liberate the mRNA from a stalled ribosome. Lineage: Bacteria; Bacillati; Actinomycetota; Coriobacteriia; Coriobacteriales. The record is from RNAcentral.